UGUAGUUGUUGCUCCUUCAGCUUCAGUUCAUUCACCGGAGCAUCCGAAUGCUGCACCCUCUCUGGGUCUCCUGAUCUCCGGCCUCUUUUAUCAGGAUUUUUUCUCUGUUCUUCUGCCACUAAAUCUGCUAUCAAGGGAUGCUGCAGAAUAUCUUCAACAGAAGGUCGGCAAUAAUCCUUUAAGUUCAGCAUCUCUUUGAGAAGUUCGUUCAAUUGCUCUGAGUAACGAUACGGUAUUCGUCUGAACUUCCC
Molecule: long non-coding RNA, 251 nt
Filed under: Gallus gallus (chicken)
Lineage: Eukaryota; Metazoa; Chordata; Aves; Galliformes; Phasianidae
Source: RNAcentral